RNAcentral lists this transfer RNA (85 nucleotides) under Eubacterium barkeri. RNAcentral's name for it is "tRNA_Tyr_GTA". It matches the Rfam family "tRNA". Rfam says of the family: Transfer RNA (tRNA) molecules are approximately 80 nucleotides in length. RNAcentral also lists the same sequence under 3 other names. Lineage: Bacteria; Bacillati; Bacillota; Clostridia; Eubacteriales; Eubacteriaceae. The record is from RNAcentral.
GGGGAGAUGCCCGAGUGGCUAAAGGGGGCGGACUGUAAAUCCGUUGACUAAGUCUACGAUGGUUCGAAUCCAUCUCUCCCCACCA